This 73-nucleotide transfer RNA is filed under the name Bacteroidota bacterium. RNAcentral describes it as "Bacteroidetes bacterium tRNA-Lys". It matches the Rfam family "tRNA". Rfam says of the family: Transfer RNA (tRNA) molecules are approximately 80 nucleotides in length. Their secondary structure includes four short double-helical elements and three loops (D, anti-codon, and T loops). Lineage: Bacteria; Pseudomonadati; Bacteroidota. The record is from RNAcentral. RNAcentral also lists the same sequence under 2 other names.
GAUUCCGUAGCUCAGCCGGUAGAGCAACGGCCUUUUAAGCCGUGGGUCCUGGGUUCGAAUCCCAGCGGGAUCA